UGCAGUCGAACGGCAGCACGGGGGCAACCCUGGUGGCGAGUGUCGAACGGGUGAGUAAUACAUCGGAACGUGUCCUGUAGUGGGGGAUAGCCCGGCGAAAGCCGGAUUAAUACCGCAUACGAUCUACGGAUGAAAGCGGGGGAUCUUCGGACCUCGCGCUGGAGGGGCGGCCGAUGGCAGAUUAGCUAGUUGGUGGGGUAAAGGCCCACCAAGGCGACGAUCUGUAGCUGGUCUGAGAGGACGACCAGCCACACUGGGACUGAGACACGGCCCAGACUCCUACGGGAGGCAGCAGUGGGGAAUUUUGGACAAUGGGGGCAACCCUGAUCCAGCAAUGCCGCGUGUGUGAAGAAGGCCUUCGGGUUGUAAAGCACUUUUGUCCGGAAAGAAAGCAUCCUGGUUAAUACCUGGGGUGGAUGACGGUACCGGAAGAAUAAGCACCGGCUAACUACGUGCCAGCAGCCGCGGUAAUACGUAGGGUGCGAGCGUUAAUCGGAAUUACUGGGCGUAAAGCGUGCGCAGGCGGUUCGCUAAGACCGAUGUGAAAUCCCCGGGCUUAACCUGGGAACUGCAUUGGUGACUGGCGGGCUAGAGUAUGGCAGAGGGGGGUAGAAUUCCACGUGUAGCAGUGAAAUGCGUAGAGAUGUGGAGGAAUACCGAUGGCGAAGGCAGCCCCCUGGGCCAAUACUGACGCUCAUGCACGAAAGCGUGGGGAGCAAACAGGAUUAGAUACCCUGGUAGUCCACGCCCUAAACGAUGUCAACUAGUUGUUGGGGAUUCAUUUCCUUAGUAACGUAGCUAACGCGUGAAGUUGACCGCCUGGGGAGUACGGUCGCAAGAUUAAACUCAAAGGAAUUGACGGGGACCGCACAAGCGGUGGAUGAAUGUGGAUUAAUUCGAUGCACCCGAAAACCUUACCUACCUUGACAUGGACGAAUCCUGGUG
This 945-nucleotide ribosomal RNA is filed under the name uncultured soil bacterium. Its description in RNAcentral is "bacterial SSU rRNA". It matches the Rfam family "Bacterial small subunit ribosomal RNA", at positions 56 to 1002 of the family's 1533-position model. The record is from RNAcentral.